Molecule: ribosomal RNA, 2925 nt
Filed under: Escherichia coli
Lineage: Bacteria; Pseudomonadati; Pseudomonadota; Gammaproteobacteria; Enterobacterales; Enterobacteriaceae
Description: bacterial LSU rRNA
Rfam family: Bacterial large subunit ribosomal RNA
Source: RNAcentral
GGGUUGUGAGGUUAAGCGACUAAGCGUACACGGUGGAUGCCCUGGCAGUCAGAGGCGAUGAAGGACGUGCUAAUCUGCGAUAAGCGUCGGUAAGGUGAUAUGAACCGUUAUAACCGGCGAUUUCCGAAUGGGGAAACCCAGUGUGUUUCGACACACUAUCAUUAACUGAAUCCAUAGGUUAAUGAGGCGAACCGGGGGAACUGAAACAUCUAAGUACCCCGAGGAAAAGAAAUCAACCGAGAUUCCCCCAGUAGCGGCGAGCGAACGGGGAGCAGCCCAGAGCCUGAAUCAGUGUGUGUGUUAGUGGAAGCGUCUGGAAAGGCGCGCGAUACAGGGUGACAGCCCCGUACACAAAAAUGCACAUAUUGUGAGCUCGAUGAGUAGGGCGGGACACGUGGUAUCCUGUCUGAAUAUGGGGGGACCAUCCUCCAAGGCUAAAUACUCCUGACUGACCGAUAGUGAACCAGUACCGUGAGGGAAAGGCGAAAAGAACCCCGGCGAGGGGAGUGAAAAAGAACCUGAAACCGUGUACGUACAAGCAGUGGGAGCACGCUUAGGCGUGUGACUGCGUACCUUUUGUAUAAUGGGUCAGCGACUUAUAUUCUGUAGCAAGGUUAACCGAAUAGGGGAGCCGAAGGGAAACCGAGUCUUAACUGGGCGUUAAGUUGCAGGGUAUAGACCCGAAACCCGGUGAUCUAGCCAUGGGCAGGUUGAAGGUUGGGUAACACUAACUGGAGGACCGAACCGACUAAUGUUGAAAAAUUAGCGGAUGACUUGUGGCUGGGGGUGAAAGGCCAAUCAAACCGGGAGAUAGCUGGUUCUCCCCGAAAGCUAUUUAGGUAGCGCCUCGUGAAUUCAUCUCCGGGGGUAGAGCACUGUUUCGGCAAGGGGGUCAUCCCGACUUACCAACCCGAUGCAAACUGCGAAUACCGGAGAAUGUUAUCACGGGAGACACACGGCGGGUGCUAACGUCCGUCGUGAAGAGGGAAACAACCCAGACCGCCAGCUAAGGUCCCAAAGUCAUGGUUAAGUGGGAAACGAUGUGGGAAGGCCCAGACAGCCAGGAUGUUGGCUUAGAAGCAGCCAUCAUUUAAAGAAAGCGUAAUAGCUCACUGGUCGAGUCGGCCUGCGCGGAAGAUGUAACGGGGCUAAACCAUGCACCGAAGCUGCGGCAGCGACGCUGAUGCGUUGUUGGGUAGGGGAGCGUUCUGUAAGCCUGCGAAGGUGUGCUGUGAGGCAUGCUGGAGGUAUCAGAAGUGCGAAUGCUGACAUAAGUAACGAUAAAGCGGGUGAAAAGCCCGCUCGCCGGAAGACCAAGGGUUCCUGUCCAACGUUAAUCGGGGCAGGGUGAGUCGACCCCUAAGGCGAGGCCGAAAGGCGUAGUCGAUGGGAAACAGGUUAAUAUUCCUGUACUUGGUGUUACUGCGAAGGGGGGACGGAGAAGGCUAUGUUGGCCGGGCGACGGUUGUCCCGGUUUAAGCGUGUAGGCUGGUUUUCCAGGCAAAUCCGGAAAAUCAAGGCUGAGGCGUGAUGACGAGGCACUACGGUGCUGAAGCAACAAAUGCCCUGCUUCCAGGAAAAGCCUCUAAGCAUCAGGUAACAUCAAAUCGUACCCCAAACCGACACAGGUGGUCAGGUAGAGAAUACCAAGGCGCUUGAGAGAACUCGGGUGAAGGAACUAGGCAAAAUGGUGCCGUAACUUCGGGAGAAGGCACGCUGAUAUGUAGGUGAAGCGACUUGCUCGUGGAGCUGAAAUCAGUCGAAGAUACCAGCUGGCUGCAACUGUUUAUUAAAAACACAGCACUGUGCAAACACGAAAGUGGACGUAUACGGUGUGACGCCUGCCCGGUGCCGGAAGGUUAAUUGAUGGGGUCAGCGCAAGCGAAGCUCUUGAUCGAAGCCCCGGUAAACGGCGGCCGUAACUAUAACGGUCCUAAGGUAGCGAAAUUCCUUGUCGGGUAAGUUCCGACCUGCACGAAUGGCGUAAUGAUGGCCAGGCUGUCUCCACCCGAGACUCAGUGAAAUUGAACUCGCUGUGAAGAUGCAGUGUACCCGCGGCAAGACGGAAAGACCCCGUGAACCUUUACUAUAGCUUGACACUGAACAUUGAGCCUUGAUGUGUAGGAUAGGUGGGAGGCUUAGAAGUGUGGACGCCAGUCUGCAUGGAGCCGACCUUGAAAUACCACCCUUUAAUGUUUGAUGUUCUAACGUUGACCCGUAAUCCGGGUUGCGGACAGUGUCUGGUGGGUAGUUUGACUGGGGCGGUCUCCUCCUAAAGAGUAACGGAGGAGCACGAAGGUUGGCUAAUCCUGGUCGGACAUCAGGAGGUUAGUGCAAUGGCAUAAGCCAGCUUGACUGCGAGCGUGACGGCGCGAGCAGGUGCGAAAGCAGGUCAUAGUGAUCCGGUGGUUCUGAAUGGAAGGGCCAUCGCUCAACGGAUAAAAGGUACUCCGGGGAUAACAGGCUGAUACCGCCCAAGAGUUCAUAUCGACGGCGGUGUUUGGCACCUCGAUGUCGGCUCAUCACAUCCUGGGGCUGAAGUAGGUCCCAAGGGUAUGGCUGUUCGCCAUUUAAAGUGGUACGCGAGCUGGGUUUAGAACGUCGUGAGACAGUUCGGUCCCUAUCUGCCGUGGGCGCUGGAGAACUGAGGGGGGCUGCUCCUAGUACGAGAGGACCGGAGUGGACGCAUCACUGGUGUUCGGGUUGUCAUGCCAAUGGCACUGCCCGGUAGCUAAAUGCGGAAGAGAUAAGUGCUGAAAGCAUCUAAGCACGAAACUUGCCCCGAGAUGAGUUCUCCCUGACUCCUUGAGAGUCCUGAAGGAACGUUGAAGACGACGACGUUGAUAGGCCGGGUGUGUAAGCGCAGCGAUGCGUUGAGCUAACCGGUACUAAUGAACCGUGAGGCUUAACCUUACAACGCCGAAG